Molecule: ribosomal RNA, 481 nt
Filed under: uncultured bacterium
Lineage: Bacteria
Description: partial 16S ribosomal RNA
Rfam family: Bacterial small subunit ribosomal RNA
Source: RNAcentral
GACGAACGUUGGCGGCGUGCUUAAUACAUGCAAGUCAACUGAAGCAGUGGUAGCAAUAUCGCUGUGGAGGUGGCGCACGGGUGAGUAACACGUAGGUAAUCUGCCUUCAGGUCUGGCAUAACUCCGGGAAACCGGGGCUAAUAGCAGAUGAUGCAGCGGCUCGACAUCGAGACAGUUGUUAAAGCUAUGGCGCCUGAAGAUGAGCCUGCGUCUGAUUAGCUAGUUGGCGGGGUAACGGCCCACCAAGGCAACGAUCAGUAGCUGGUCUGAGAGGAUGAUCAGCCACACUGGAACUGAGACACGGUCCAGACUCCUACGGGAGGCAGCAGUAAGGAAUAUUGCGCAAUGGGAGAAAUCCUGAAGCAGCAACGCCGCGUGAGGGACGAAGGGCUUUUGCUUGUAAACCUCUGUAGUGAGAGAAAAAAAUCCCAAUCUGUGGGACAUGAUGGUAGCUCAAAAGUAAGCCCCGGCUAACUACGUG